RNAcentral lists this transfer RNA (85 nucleotides) under Limnoglobus roseus. RNAcentral's name for it is "tRNA-Leu". It matches the Rfam family "tRNA". Rfam says of the family: Transfer RNA (tRNA) molecules are approximately 80 nucleotides in length. Their secondary structure includes four short double-helical elements and three loops (D, anti-codon, and T loops). Lineage: Bacteria; Pseudomonadati; Planctomycetota; Planctomycetia; Gemmatales; Gemmataceae. The record is from RNAcentral.
GCGAGGGUGGCGGAAUUGGCAGACGCACAAGAUUUAGGUUCUUGCGCCCGAAAGGGCAUGGGGGUUCAAGUCCCCCCCCUCGCAC